GACAGAGGCCUCGAGCGUUAGGCGGAAUCACUGGGCUUAAAGCGUGUGUAGGCGGGCCCGUCAGUACCUUGUGAAAUCCCACGGCUCAACCGUGGAACCGCUGGGUAUACUGCGGGUCUUGGGCCGACUAGGGGCAGCCGGAACAAGCGGUGGAGCGGUGAAAUGCGUAGAUAUCGCUUGGAACGCCGAAGGUGAAAACAGGCUGCUGGGGUCGCGCCGACGCUGAGACGCGAAAGCGUGGGGAGCAAACAGG
Molecule: ribosomal RNA, 253 nt
Filed under: uncultured bacterium
Lineage: Bacteria
Description: partial 16S ribosomal RNA
Rfam family: Bacterial small subunit ribosomal RNA
Source: RNAcentral